Molecule: ribosomal RNA, 981 nt
Filed under: Salmonella enterica
Lineage: Bacteria; Pseudomonadati; Pseudomonadota; Gammaproteobacteria; Enterobacterales; Enterobacteriaceae
Also listed under: 1 other name
Description: partial 23S ribosomal RNA
Rfam family: Bacterial large subunit ribosomal RNA
Source: RNAcentral
ACGUCAAAGCGUUCAUUAAAGUCGAGUUGGCUUAGGGAUACGUUCGUUGGGUAGGGGAGCGUUCUGUAAGCCGUUGAAGGUGGCCUGUGAGGGUUGCUGGAGGUAUCAGAAGUGCGAAUGCUGACAUAAGUAACGAUAAAGCGGGUGAAAAGCCCGCUCGCCGGAAGACCAAGGGUUCCUGUCCAACGUUAAUCGGGGCAGGGUGAGUCGACCCCUAAGGCGAGGCCGAAAGGCGUAGUCGAUGGGAAACGGGUUAAUAUUCCCGUACUUGGUGUUACUGCGAAGGGGGGACGGAGAAGGCUAUGUUGGCCGGGCGACGGUUGUCCCGGUUUAAGCGUGUAGGUGUGUGUUCCAGGUAAAUCCGGUUCACUUUAACACUGAGGCGUGACGACGAGGCACUACGGUGCUGAAGCAACAAAUGCCCUGCUUCCAGGAAAAGCCUCUAAGCAUCAGGUAACAUCAAAUCGUACCCCAAACCGACACAGGUGGUCAGGUAGAGAAUACCAAGGCGCUUGAGAGAACUCGGGUGAAGGAACUAGGCAAAAUGGUGCCGUAACUUCGGGAGAAGGCACGCUGACACGUAGGUGAAGUGAUUUACUCAUGGAGCUGAAGUCAGUCGAAGAUACCAGCUGGCUGCAACUGUUUAUUAAAAACACAGCACUGUGCAAACACGAAAGUGGACGUAUACGGUGUGACGCCUGCCCGGUGCCGGAAGGUUAAUUGAUGGGGUCAGCGCAAGCGAAGCUCCUGAUCGAAGCCCCGGUAAACGGCGGCCGUAACUAUAACGGUCCUAAGGUAGCGAAAUUCCUUGUCGGGUAAGUUCCGACCUGCACGAAUGGCGUAAUGAUGGCCAGGCUGUCUCCACCCGAGACUCAGUGAAAUUGAACUCGCUGUGAAGAUGCAGUGUACCCGCGGCAAGACGGAAAGACCCCGUGAACCUUUACUAUAGCUUGACACUGAACAUUGAGCCUUGAUGUGUAG